GCUUCUAAAGGAUAAAAGUCUUCCGCUGGUCUUAGGAACCCGUAAUUCCUGGUGCAAAUCCAGGUGGAAGCU
This 72-nucleotide transfer RNA is filed under the name Bregmaceros nectabanus (smallscale codlet). RNAcentral's name for it is "tRNA-Leu". It matches the Rfam family "tRNA". From Rfam's summary of the family: Transfer RNA (tRNA) molecules are approximately 80 nucleotides in length. Their secondary structure includes four short double-helical elements and three loops (D, anti-codon, and T loops). Further hydrogen bonds mediate the characteristic L-shaped molecular structure. tRNAs have two regions of fundamental functional importance: the anti-codon, which is responsible for specific mRNA codon recognition, and the 3' end, to which the tRNAs corresponding amino acid is attached (by aminoacyl-tRNA synthetases). tRNAs cope with the degeneracy of the genetic code in two manners: having more than one tRNA (with a specific anti-codon) for a particular amino acid; and 'wobble' base-pairing, i.e. permitting non-standard base-pairing at the 3rd anti-codon position. Lineage: Eukaryota; Metazoa; Chordata; Actinopteri; Gadiformes; Bregmacerotidae. The record is from RNAcentral.